AAACUUUCAACAACGGAUCUCUUGGUUCUGGCAUCGAUGAAGACGCAGCGAAAUGCGAUAAGUAAAUGUGAAUUGCAGAAAUUCAGUGAAUCAUCGAAUCUUUGAACGCACAUUGCGCCCCCUGGUAUUCCGGGGGGCAUGCCUGUUCGAGCGUCAUU
Molecule: ribosomal RNA, 158 nt
Filed under: Chaenothecopsis epithallina
Lineage: Eukaryota; Fungi; Ascomycota; Eurotiomycetes; Mycocaliciales; Mycocaliciaceae
Description: 5.8S ribosomal RNA
Rfam family: 5.8S ribosomal RNA
About the family: 5.8S ribosomal RNA (5.8S rRNA) is a component of the large subunit of the eukaryotic ribosome. It is transcribed by RNA polymerase I as part of the 45S precursor that also contains 18S and 28S rRNA. Functionally, it is thought that 5.8S rRNA may be involved in ribosome translocation.
Source: RNAcentral